UUUUCUUUCUCGGUUCUGAUUAAUAAACUCUCUCUAUCUUCUGGAGAGUUCUCAAACGCUCCUCCUUCUCUCUAGAUUCUCUCUACAUUUCUCAUGAUUUUUCGGUUUAAUCUCAAUGUUUAUAUGGUAUCAGAGCCAAGACGACGAUCCGACUGUGUUUAUCUGUAUCUCGUUGUCUUGGAUGAAGUCUGUUUCGAGAUUUUUAGGGGUGUUUCUGAGACCUUAUGGUCGAUGAUGAUUCCGACCUAAAUCGGAUGCUUUUCUGAGAUUUUCUUCGUGAUAUCUGAGUAUAUCUUCUCCACUCGAUUCCGACCUAAAUCGGAUGCUUUUAUGAGAUUUUCUUCGUGAUAUCUCAGUAUAUCUUCUCCAAUCGAACGUUCUGGGAGGUUUUUUGAUGAUUUUUGGGUGAUUUUUCAGUGACCUAUCGGCUUCUGGGUUUCUGGUGGUUUAACCUAGAGUUUUACUGCUUUCCGGUGGUUCGAUUAUCACUCAGUGGAUGUUUUGGGUGCCUUUCCAACAUCACUGACCACACUCCAGUAAGGAUUUUGACGGUUACACCUAGGGUUUUGUACCUAGGGUUUUUUCUGUUGUUUGAAGGCCGAUCUUCUCCGGUCGCGAAGAAGGAGGGUAACUCUGUCCUUANN
RNAcentral lists this long non-coding RNA (644 nucleotides) under Nicotiana benthamiana. RNAcentral's name for it is "long non-coding RNA (NBEN_LNC018623)". Lineage: Eukaryota; Viridiplantae; Streptophyta; Magnoliopsida; Solanales; Solanaceae. The record is from RNAcentral.